UACGUAGGGGGCAAGCGUUGUCCGGAUUUAUUGGGCGUAAAGAGCGUGUAGGCGGCCAAGCAGGUCCGCUGUGAAAACUCGAGGCCUCAACCUCGAGACGUCGGUGGAAACCGUUUGGCUAGAGUCCGGAAGAGGAGAGUGGAAUUCCCGGUGUAGCGGUGAAAUGCGCAGAUAUCGGGAAGAACACCCGUGGCGAAGGCGGCUCGCUGGCCUGUAACUGACGCUGAGACGCGAAAGCGUGGGGAGCAA
This 249-nucleotide ribosomal RNA is filed under the name uncultured bacterium. RNAcentral's name for it is "partial 16S ribosomal RNA". It matches the Rfam family "Bacterial small subunit ribosomal RNA", at positions 524 to 771 of the family's 1533-position model. The record is from RNAcentral.